RNAcentral lists this long non-coding RNA (1069 nucleotides) under Salmo salar (Atlantic salmon). Its description in RNAcentral is "lncRNA (ENSSSAG00000117068.1)". The record is from RNAcentral. Lineage: Eukaryota; Metazoa; Chordata; Actinopteri; Salmoniformes; Salmonidae.
UGGGCUAAUUGUGCGCCUCCCUAUGGGACUCCCAAUCCCGGACGGUUGUGACUACAGCCUGGAAUCGAACCAGGGUCUGUGGCGACACCUCUAGCACUGAGAUGCAGUGUCUUAGACCACUGUGCCACUCGGGAGCACUGGGACAUCGGACAUCCCACUGCUCUUAUGAAAAAUGGGUUGUGAACUAAUUUGUAUAUUUUAGCCAUCCAUUCACCCAUGUCUUCCUGUCAGUACUAGUCAUGAUUCGACCAAUCGAGGAUUGUCAUUGGCUGAUAAUGGCAGCCAACAUGUCAUUGCAGCCAUUCCUGGACUUCCCUUUUCUACUGCACCAUUAUAAUUGAAAUCAUAGUACCAUGAUGGUCUUCUUAUUCACUACCAAUCAUAGGCUAUUAUGUACCGUUUUCCCAAGAGAACCCCUUUCAACAUCUAGGCUAAACUCUAACUUGAGGCGCUGAUAAAUUCUCCAUGUUGUUUAAUGUCUUCCAUGCUGUUACAUGGCUCCCUCUGGGGCUGAAAAAUGACAUCUGAUUGACACUCAUGCAGUCUUUGAUCAUGUUAGGCCUGCAGUACAAAGUGUCAGAUCUGGAAACUUACCGUUUUACCCAAAAACCCUGCCUGAGGAAAAAUACUGCUGUUUUGUGAAAUGACAUCCUAGAGAGAAGCUAUAGGAAUCAUUAGAAGAGAGACCGUGGAAUCUGAAAGCCUUAGGUUACCUUCCACACAACAACUAAUCAGCCAAAUAUCAAGAGGUUUGGCUCAUCUGCUGAAAUUGGCAAUUUGUUAAUGUGUCUGGAUACUGAAAGACAAUUUGGGGUGUUUGAGUGGAUGUUGACAGUCAGAUGGGUGUGAGAAUAGGCUAGAGGGGUGUGAGGGUAGAUGCGUGAGAGACAAUUAACUGAGAAAGGGACAUGGGGUUGAUUUGGCUGCGUUUACAUCAAUCAACUCAGAUCUUUUGCCAAUAAUUGGGAAAAUAUCUGAAUUAGGCUUCCUGUGUAAACAGUCUUUGUGCUGCAGUAUGUUUGUUGAUUAACAGGAGCAAAUACUGACUUGUGAAGAUUCGCAUUCCCAG